This 41303-nucleotide long non-coding RNA is filed under the name Nicotiana tabacum (common tobacco). Its description in RNAcentral is "long non-coding RNA (NTAB_LNC008953)". Lineage: Eukaryota; Viridiplantae; Streptophyta; Magnoliopsida; Solanales; Solanaceae. The record is from RNAcentral.
UUUUUUCUGGUUGGCCAGAAUCUCCUUGAGGGCAUCCUCGAUAGAUUGUGAGACCUGCGGAGGCAGAGGUGCCGAGUGAGCUUCCACUGUAGUAGUGAGGAUAGACAACUUGGAUGAAACUUUGUGCAUCCAGUUGUUGAUGCUUAGAAGAGCCUGGCUCAGUCGAUGUGCAAUCACUGGGUAGGCUCGGGAAGAGGGUAUCUCGGGAUCUGCUGAAAUGGAUGGACCAGGAGGAAUGUCUGUGGAGGUGGAGGUAGGUUGAGUAGGAGCCACUACCACAACUGGCUCUUCAGACUGGCCAGUUGGAGCAGUAGUUGCUCCCUUGAAGUUCUUGCUCUUUGGGUUGUCAUCACCCUGCAUAAUAUACCAUGAGAACGAGGCCUUCGCUUUUACCUUUAUAUCAAAUUGCCUCUUUUCUACCUUUAAGUCCGUGAAGUACAUGGUUAAGAAGCUGAGGAAGGGGUAGUUUCUGUCACCUUUACUGCCUACCUAUGUAAUCACCCGAGACAUCACCUUCCCGAUGUUAAUCGGGUACCCCGCCAUGAUUUAUGCUACCACUACUGCCCCGUGAAGAGGGAGUGAGUUGUUAUGAGUAGUGGGAUCCAAUCUGUUGCACCCGAAUGUUUCUCACCCCUUGGCCUCGAAGUUCAAACUUAUUCUCAAAAUUUUCACUCUUGCAUCCAACCAAUCGGGGGUGGUACCUGGGAUUACCAGAUACUGUGCCAACCAAGGACAUACCUCCUCACCUAAUUCCAUAUUUGCCAAAUAUAGCGACUCAUCCUCCUCAUCAAAGCCCAAGUAGUCAUUUAUGGUUUUCCCAUCGAACAACACUUUCAAAUUGCACACCUUGGUCACUUUGGUGCCCUUCUUGAUGUGGGAAACAUUGGUGUAGAAUUCCUUGACCAGGUGCUCGUUUUCAUCCUCACAGUUGUUUAAGAAAUACUCUUAGCCCAAUCUCUCUCUAAACUGCCUUCUCACAUUGGGGUUGUGAGGCAAAAGGUCUUUAUCUACAAAACUUCUCUCCAGAAUUAAUUUCCUCACAGGCCGCCAUUCUCUGAAUUUAUGGUAGGCCACCUCGCUCACAAAGUGGUCUUGCCACACCUCCGGGUUUCUAGUUCAUUCUACCCCGCCACCUGGGGAUCACCCCUUCUCCUACUACCUCUUCUUCUCCUACUUCACCCUAUCCGCCUUCAGUGCAUCUGCAUUGAAAAUUCUAGAGACCUGAAUACUUUUUCCACUAUGUCCUGCACUAUAUCAACACAAUCCUAUAGCAUCUCACAACCAACUAGUCCAAAAAUAAAUCCUCUACUAUAGUAAAAAUCAAAUAAAAACAAAAAAAAACACAUGGGUUUCCUCCCAAGAAGUGCUUGAUUUAACAUCGCGGCAUGACGCAGGUUACCAUCAAAUCAUUUGAGAUGAAGAAGUGCCACCACGUGGCUGCCAUCAAUUUUCCCAAGUAGUGCUUGACCAUAUGCCCAUUCACACUAAAAACUUCCCCAUUUUUGUUCUUUAAAUCAAGUGCAGCAAAUGGGGUCACACAUACCACUUCAAAAGGUCCACUCCAUUUUGACUUAAGCUUUCCUGGAAAUAGACGUAACCGAGAGUUGAACAAGAGAACCAAAUCACCUACUUUAAACUCCUUGCUACGAGCAUAUUUAUCAUGAAGGUACUUCAUCUUGUCCUUGUACAAGGACGAACUGGAGUAGACAUGGAAUCUGAAUUCAUCAAGUUCAUUGAGUUGCUCCACACGAAGAUUGGCUGCAACAUCCCAUUCAUGAUUUAGCUUCCUCAUAGCCCACAUGGUCUUGUGCUCUAACUCAACCGGUAGAUGGAAAGCUUUCCCAAACACCAACCGAUACGGGGACAUACCAAUCGGAGUCUUGUAAGCAGUCCUAUAAGCCCAUAGAGUGUCAUCCAACUUCUUUUCCCAGUCGGUCCUAUUUACAUUGACCGUCUUUAAAAUAUGCUUUUGAUUUCGUUGUUGGAGACUUCAACUUGACCACUUGCUUGAGGAUGAUAGGGAGUAGAAACUUUAUGAUUGACACCAUACUUUACAAGCAAAGUGUCGAAAGCUCUAUUGCAAAAAUGAGGUCCCCCAUCACUUAUGAUUGCACGAGAAGUACCAAACCUUGUAAAGAUGCUCUUCUUGAGAAAUGCAACAACACUCCGGGCCUUAUUGUUGGGCAAAGCUACGGCUUCAACCCACUUUGAUACAUAGUCAACCGCCACAAGAAUGUAAGUGUUCCCACAAGAGCUAACAAACGAUCCCAUAAAAUCAAUGCCCCAUACAUCAAAAAUAUCAACCUCAAGGAUGGUAUGGAGAGGCAUCUCAUCUUUCUUAGAAAUUCCACCCGCUCUUUGACAUUUAUCACACAUCUUCACUAGUUCACUUGCAUCUUUGUACAAAGUUGGCCAAUAUAACCCACAACUAAGAACUUUGGAAGCCGUCCUCGCCCCGCCAUGAUGGCCACCAUAGGGAGAGGAGUGACAAGCCUCCAAGAUACUCACUUGCUCUUCCUCCGGGACACACCUUCGGAUCACACCAUCCAUGCAAAUCUUGAACAAGUACGGCUCAUCCCAAUAGAAAUCCAAACUAGCCUGAUUGAGCUUCUUCCUUUGGUUAGAAGACAGCUCACACAAGAUUAUACCAGUCACAAGGAAAUUAGCAACAUCGACAAACCAUGGCAUAUCAUUCAUCGACACCGAAAGGAGUUGUUCAUCGGGAAAUGAAUCAUUGAUCUCUAGGCCGUCACGAGGCCUCCCCUCCUCCUGCAAGUGGGACAAGUGGUCCGCCACUUGGUUCUCACCACCCUUCCGGUCCAUAAUCUCCAAAUCACACUCUUGAAGUAACAAGACCCAUCGCAUCAGUCUAGCUUUGGAAUCUUUCUUUGUCAUCAAGUACCGGAGUACGGCAUGGUCGGUAUGAAUAAUAAUCUUAGCACCCAUAAGAUACGGCCGGAAUUUUUCCAUUGCGAACACAAUAGCCAAAAGUUCUUUAUCGGUCACCAUGUAGUUCACUUGAGCAUCAUUCAUUAUCUUGCUCGCAUAAUACACUGGAUGAAACAUUUUUUUCACUCUUUGACCCAAAACCGCCACAACCGCAACAUUGCUUGCAUUACACAUGAGCUCAAAGGGCAACUUAUGCUUGAGAAGUUCAAAGGCUUGCAUACAUUUUUCAUCAAACACGAACUUAGCAUCUUUUUCCAAUAACUUGCACAAGGGAUUCACUACCUUCGAAAAGUCUUUGAUAAAUCUCCGGUAGAACCCCACAUGCCCAAGAAAACUUAGAACUCCCUUGACAGAUGUAGGGGGAGGGAGCCUUGAAAUCACAUCAAUUUUUGCUUUGUCUACCUCAAAACCAUGCUUUGAAAUUUUAUGCCCAAGAACUAUCCCCUCUUCUACCAUAAAGUGGAAUUUCUCCCAAUUGAGAACAAGAUUGGUUUCUUCACAAUGGUCCAAGACCCUAUCAAGCUUUUUCAAGCACUCAUCAAAUGAAUCCCCCACAACACUAAAGUUGUCCAUGAACACCUCCAAAAUGCCUUCCACCAUAUCGGUGAAAAUGGCCAUCAACCCAAAAGGCAUCCUAGAAAAUGCAAAUGUGUUAUAUGGACAAGUGAAUGUAGUCUUCACCUGAUCUUUCGGAACAAUCAAGAUUUGGUUGUACCCAGAAUACCCAUCCAAGAAAUAGUAGAAGGCAUGCCCAGCAAGUCGAUCUAACAUCUGAUCAAGAAAAGGCAAAGGAAAGUGAUCCUUGAGGGUCACUUUAUUCAACUUGUGGUAGUCCAUGCAUACCCUCCAACCGGUGACAGUUCUUGUAGGAAUCAACUCAUUUUGUAAAUUUGUAACCACGGUCAUGCCACCCUUCUUUGGUACACAUUGCACCGGUGAAGUCCAAGAGUUAUUAGAGAUGGGGUACACAACCCUGGCAUCCAACAACUUGAUCACCUCCUUUUUCACCACUUCUUGUAUUGUCUUGUUCAACCUCCGUUGAUGCUCCAAGGAGGGUUUUGCAUCAUACAGAAUGCAGGGCUUAUCCCCCGAAUAUCAGCUAAAGUUCAUCCAAUUGACUUUUUCUGCUUUUGAAGCACUUCCAAUGUGGCAUCAACCUGCAUGUUAGUAAGGCAAGAAGAAAGAAUAACUAGCAAAGUAGAAUUUGAGCCUAAGAACUCAUACCUGAGGUGUGGAGGCAGUGGUUUCAACUCUAACACCAGAGGCUCCUCAAUUGAAGGUUUUGUUGGUGGAGUCUUUAUAUUCUCGAGGUUCAAAGAUAAUUUCCUAGGCUCAUAAGAGUAAGAGCCCAUUCCAUGUAAAGCAUUCACGCACUCCACUCGGCUUGCAUCCUCAUUGACAUCAAGAUUCAACAAUACGGCCUCCAAAGGGUCCUCCACAUUGAUCAUUGCACUGGUGUCAUCAACUAUCACUGUUGUAACAAGGUCCACAAAAGAGCACACCUACAUAUUGUUGGGUUGCUUCAUUGAUUUGCAAACAUGAAAGACCACUUUUUCAUCACCCACCUGGAAGGUGAGUUCCCAUGCUUCCACAUCAACUAAGGCCUUCCCCAUAGCAAGGAAAGGUCUCCCCAAAAUGAUAGGAACUUCAUAAACCACCUCACAAUCCAAGAUCACAAAGUCAGCUGGCAAGAUAAAUUUGUCCACCCGGAUAAGCACAUCAUCAAUAACACCCAAUGGUCUCUUCAUCAUUCUAUCUGCCAUUUGUAAUCUCAUGAAAGUCGGUCUCGGCUACCCAAUACCCUAAGUCUUGAAAACGAAAUAGGACAUCAAAUUGAUACUAGCCCCCAAAUCACAUAGAACUAUAGCAAAUUCCGCACUCCCAAUGGUGCAAGGAUGGUGAAAGCACCAGGNNNNNNNNNNNNNNNNNNNNNNNNNNNNNNNNNNNNNNUUUAUAGUUUCACAAUCCAUAGAAUGCUUCUUUGUAACCAAUUCCUUCAUGAAUUUAGCAUAGCACGGCAUUUGUUCAAGAGCCUCUACCAAAGGCACAUUAAUGGACAAGCUCUUCAUCAUGUCAAUAAACGUUUUAAACUGAUUCUCAUUUUUCUGCUUCGCGAGCCUUUGAGGAUAAAGUGGAGGUGGCCUUGGCAAGGUAGCCUUGGCUUUAGGCACAACCAGCUCUGGCAUGUCUAUUAUGUGUUCCCUAGACGGGUUCACAUCAUUUUGAGUUUCCACCUCGACAUCUUGAAUAUCAAUCCUCACUUCUUCAUUCACAUUUUCAUCAAUCACAUUUUCACCCACCAAAGGAACUUUAUCUUCUUGCAACUCAACAUCAUCACUCAAAAUUUGCUUUUGCUUGGAGGCAUUCACAUCACCGCCUCUCCCGCUUCUUGUUGUUACCGCCAUAACAUGAUUGUUCCCACCCUUCGGGUUCACUACCGUAUCACUUGGUAGAGCACCCUUAGGGCGAGUAUUUAAAGACUGAGAUUUGGCCUAACUGCACCUCCAAGUUUCUGAUAGAAGUAUUGUGGGAAGCCAACUGAGCAUCCGAGUCCUCAUUCUUCUUCAUCAUUUGUUCGAACAUCAUUUCAAUUCUACCCAUAUCAUUGCUAGAAGAACUAGGACCUUGAGAUGGAAAUAGGGGUAGAUUGUUCUGUUGUUGGUACAUUGAGGGCCUUUGAAAGCCUUGCCCCCGGUUUCCUUGGUUUCCAUUGUUCCAUCCACCUUUAUUGUUAUUACCACACCAAUUGUUGUUAUUACCAUUCCAAUUUCCUUGGUUGUUUUGAUUGUUUUUUUAGUUGCCCCAAUUGUUGUUUUGGUUGUUGUUCCCCCAAUUACCAUUGCCUUGUUGUUGAUUACCCCAAUUGACUUGGGGUCGGCAUUGUUGUUGAUUAGAAGGGUUGCCCCUUUUGCGAUGAUAAUUAUUCACAUAUUGUACCUCUUUGUUUUGUUCAUCAUAACCAUCACUUUGAAAUCCACCACAAUCAUUAUCAAAUUGCUCGGAAUUCCCUUGGUUUUGUUGCCCUCUUUGUCUUCUUUUGUUGAUAAGCAUGUUGACACCCUCCAUGGCAUUCACUUGGUGAGGAUUUUGAACUUGUUGCAACUGUGUCUUUGCUAGUUGGUUCAUCGUAGUUGUCAACUCAGCUAUAGCCUGCCCAUGAUCAUGUAACUCCUUGUGCAAAUGAGUAACUGUGGGGUCACGCUAGGGCACAUUGGCUCUACUUUGCCACGCAGAAGAAGUGUCAACCAUCUCGUCAAGAAUAUCACAUGACUCAUCAUAUGAUAGCUUCAUAAAGUAGCCCCAGCAAGUUGGUUUACUAUGCAUUGGUUUGUGGUGUUAAUACCCUGGUAGAAAGUCUGUUGGAUCAUCGCCUCGGUCAUAUCAUUGUUGGGGCAUUCCUUCACUAUUGUUCUAUAACGCUCUCAAAUCUCAUGCAAAGGUUCUAUGGGCUCUUGCUUGAAAGCCAAUAUCUCAUCUCGCAAUGCUUCCAUAUGCCCUGGUGAGAAAGAUUUGGCAAUAAACUUGCCCGCCAACUUAUCCCAAGUAGUGAUGGAAUGGUUUGGAAGUCGCUCGAGCCAAUCCAAUGCCUUCCCUCUGAGUGAGAAUGGGAAGAGUCUCAACCUAAUAGCAUCCUCGGACACAUUAGUCUGCUUGCUCACCUAACAUGUAUCCACGAACCCUUUGAGAUGUUUGUAAGUAUUUUGAUUUGUAGCGCCCGUGAAAUACCCACGCUGCCCUAGUAAUGUCAACAUCAUAUUGGUUAUUUGAAAAUUGCCUGCUCAGAUUCGGGGUGGGACAAUAGCACUUGCAUAGCCUUGGUUCGGAAGCACUCUAGGAGCCACUCUUGGAGGUGACGGAGGAGGGUCUAGAAUAUUGUCAUUUGCAUUAGCAUUGGCCUGGUGGCCUCUACAUUGUCCUUGAGGUACAAGAGGUACCUUAUCAUCUCCGACAUCAUCUACCUCCUCCCCCGCAAUCACAUUUCCAAGAGGAUCAUUGGCGUUGUUCGCUACCAUUUGGUACCUGAGUUGUGACACAAACAAAUUAGUAACAAAGAAGGAAAGAAGAACAAUACACAAAACUAGUUAGAUAGAUAGCCAAAAUCAUUAGCUCCCCAGCAACGGCGCCAAAAAGUUGAUUGAAGCCAACCUUACACCACUAUUGAGUAGCAAGAGAGGGUCGAAGCAGCUUUUACCCGAUUAAGGUCGGGAUCGAUUUUCACAAGGAGCUAGAAGUUGGAGUCGGGUGUCUAUCUAAAGUGGAGUUGUGUAUGUAUUCCAAAUUGCACUUCUAAACAUUUUUGGGUUUUGAUUUACUUCUAAUUAUAUAUACUACAAUAUGCAAUUAAACUAGAAUAAGCUAAGAGUAAAUUACUGCGAGUUGUUCAAAUGGUUAAAAGGCACUAGGGUAGUUACUUUCGCCUAGGUAGUCAAUUGACGGGUACUUGAGUCUAAGGCAUGAUUGACACAUUUAGGGAGUAUGAUAUAACCAUUUCACAAUUUUACCCACUAUACACUUCUCAGUGGUUCGAGCGAUUUUGCCCGAAUUGACUUUCUCAAGACCGAUUGAGUAUGAAAAUUUGCACAAGCAAUCUAGGUUCAAGUCGGGUAUUACUAUCUCUAGAUUUAACCCAUUAAUUGGGGCUAUCAAUCUCUUGAGUACGCCCCAAUUCCUUGUUGGACCAAUUUCAGAGACUUAGACUCUCUUUUGUCAAGAAGAGCCAAAGUCAACUAAACCCAAACUAGUGUUUGCAACCACUAAUUUAGCAUAUAACCAUGAAAUUAGUCCAAAUAUCAAAUACCCAUAAACAAUCAAGCAUCAAAACACAAGACCCAUCAAUUAUCCAUACUAGGGUUGAGCCACAACCCUAACUUAUGGGUCUAGCUACUCAUAAUUAGAGAAGAAAACAAACAAAUAGAUGAAGAAAACUCAUAUUAAUUAAUUGCUAAGAUAAACUAGAAGAUUCAAUGUUGAAAUGAAGCUAAAAUUGCUAAAAAUAGCUAAAACUAUCGAAGUCACGAGUGCAGCUCAGUACUUAAACUAUCUGAUGACCUAAAAAUGGAAAAAGAAGCUAUUUAUACUAAGUUAAAAAAUCUGGACAGAAAUACCCCUACGGGGCUAGUGCGGACCGCACAAAAUCACGUGCGGCCGCACUAGGGCUCUAAACUUGAAAAUCUAGCUCUUUGAACUCGGGCAAUGCGGACUGCACAGACUCGAGUGCAGCAGUAUUGGCUUCUAGUGCGGUCCGCAUGAAAUGGAGCACGGACCGCAUUGGUUUCAAUCUCCAAACUGGCACUUCUCUAAUCCUUGGUUCUGCGGACCGCACUAAAUCGAGUGCGAUCGCAGUGACUCCAAUGCGGACUGCAUUAAAUCUCAUGCGGCUACAUUGCCUGUUGGCCUGGAUAUCAGCCUCUCUGAACCUCACUUGUGCGGACCGCACAGAAUGGUGUGCGGCCGUUUUAGGCCUGUUUUGCUUGAGCUUUGUCUUGUCUUGGUACUUGUGCAAGUUUCACUCCCUUUUGAGCUAAUCUUUGACAUCUUGUCACUUUUUUGAUCAAACCUGGAAUCAAGAACAACUUGUGAGCCUUUUGGGACUAUUUUGUACANNNNNNNNNNNNNNNCGUAACAUCACCGUAAUGUAAUACUACAGGGUGCGACACUGUCGUAACUAAUUACUGCAAAGCAUAAUAUCACCGUAAUGUAAUACUGUCCGGUACAACACUAUUAUAACUUAAUACUGCAGGACGUAACAUCAAUCAUAAUAUAUUGCUGCAGAGGAUAACAUCAUCAUAAUAUAUUACUGCAGAGCAUAACAUCGUCGUAAUAUAAUACUACGGGAUGUAAUAUCGACAUAAUAUUGCAGGAGUAACAAGGAAUUAAACUCUUAAUCCCUCCCUAACUUGUAAUACACCUACUACAAGCCACUUUGCAAUACAACUAUUACAAAGACUUCAAUUCAUGACUAACUCUAGUCACGACACAAACACUAAGGGUUUAUGGUUUUUCAAGAGUUCCUAAAAGAAGCUUCUAAAUAAGCAAAGUAGGAAUUACAAUGAAGAAAAAUUACAAAGUUACAACUCACCAAAGGAUAUACAAGAGACUUGUUGUUGGAACUGAUCUAUAGUAGUGUUAUAUUUUGUUCUUGAUGUACUUGAGAACUGAAUACUUGAUUUUCAAAUGCAUGAAUGCUUUUGUGAAUUCUCUAAUUGUUCAAGUGAUGUUUUGCUGUAAUGUUUAAUGUUAAUACAAUAUGGAUGACAUCACUUGAAUGAUGUAAUCACUUGGUAGGUCAAUAAGAAGUGAUUGUUGAACUGUGCUGCACUAUUUCUGUGUGUAGUGCAGGCAGUCACUUUCUAGCUAUAGACAGUUGACUUCGUAUUAUUGUCAAGGAAACUCAAGGGUAUCAAGUCCCUGUGUUGAUUCUCUAUCUUCUGAAGUCAUAGCAACUCACAUUAGCUGGAGUCCGUUGAUUUGAGUUGUGUACCAAGUGUGUCAGGUUCCUUAUCUGGUUCUCUGAUAGUAAGUUUGUUAGAUCAUCAAAACAUAAAGCUAAGGUAUUGUAAAACCAUCAAUUUUCCCCUUUUUGAUUAUGACAAACUUAGAAAUUGAUAACACAUGUUUAAAGCAAAAUUAAUAGAUGAAGUAACAAGAACUACAUAAGUUUCCCCUAACUUAAUACUUCCCCCUUAAUCAGAUCCCUAUUUCAAUUAUGCUUCCUAUUUUUGGAAUCAUUAAAAAUACACAAGAAAGAAAUCAACAUAAAGAAGUCUAGCCGAACUAACUCAUGCCACAUAUGUGCACACAACAUGAUAGAAAAGAGAAGCAGAGAAACAUAAGUAAUAAAUAGGAAAAGAUGAUAGUUUUUAUAAACCAUAAGCCUUUGCCAUUACAGCAAAGGCAAAUUUGGACUGUUAUCAUCAGGAUCAGUACAAGGAAAUUUUAUCCACACCACAAAAGAGGUAGAGGGUUAGCCUAGGGGACACUAGAAGGAGAGGGAUUAAAAGCUGCGGGAAGAGUGUUGAGAACGAGAUCAAUUUGGGCAUUGGCCGACAUUUGAUUUGCGAGCAGUUUCUCCUGUAGGUUCUCCACUUGUUGCCUGAGAUCGGUAUUUUCUUUGGUCAGACGAGCGAUCUCCUCAUUUGAUCCUGGUGCCCCUUGGGCCUGCUGACUCUCCAGAAUGUCAUUCUUUGCCUUCAACUUCCUAAACUCCUCAGUAGAACUAUUCUGGGCAUUGAUAAGCUGAGUGAUUGUUGAAGUGCUUCCUACCCCUCCACCUUUUUCAACACAUUCACAUUCCUCCAAAGUAGUUUGAGAGAAUGUCUUCUUCUUGGUCCCUAUCUUGGGAUGUCACAGAGGUACGUCAAAGAACUUGAAGACAUGCGUGAGAAGAAAUCCAUAGGGAAGACCAUGGUUUCCAUCUUUGAAAGUUGUCACCUUUUGCAUGUGCUUAAUCAUGAUGGCUGGCAAGUUUACAGCGCGGAACCCAUCCAGUGCUUCCAUCAAAUACAGAUCAGACUUGGAAGUGAUGGACCUUCUCUUAACACGGGGUAGAAGAACCUUGUUUACCAACUCAAACAAUAGCUGAUAAAUAGAAAUAAGAGCUUUCUUGUGUACUCGUUCCCCCUGCGGGACUACUCCCUCCUUUACAAUAGCAUAAUAACCGCAUAUAUUCUUGAUAGAGGACAUACCAUCAGCAAGGACCUUAAGUAUGUCCCCAAGCAGAGCAACAUCCAAAACAAUAUUAACUCCAUUGACCAGAGCACACAUAUGAUCAGUUUCAACAGGAAAGAGGUUUGCAUAGAAACUUUGGACCUCAUCCUCAUAGACUUUGGGUACAUCCACCUUGAACAGAUGUCCCCACUGUUGAAAUUCGACCAUGUCUACUAUUUUCCUCAUACCAUCCAUUUUAGAGAUUUCUGGGUCAAAAGUGCGACCCCAUAGAAUCUUUUGGUACCUCAGCCUUUCCUUAGAAGACAUACUUUCAUGUUUCACUCUCUUUGCAGAAUCAGGUUCCCUCCCAGUUUCCAACUUUCUUUUCCCAGACUUCACAUGCGAUUUACCCUUUCGACCGGAUCUCACUAAGAUAUCCUCAUCAGAUAAUGAUUGUUCACCCACUACUUGUUUCAACUUGUCACCACUUCUCACUGACUUUGAACUUGGCAUAUCAAUACCUUCCUCUGAAGCAUUUUCACCAUAUCGCUUAUUUUUCUAAGACUUUUUAACCAAUGAACUUGGUUUCUCUACUACUUCCUCAUCCAUUUCCACUACAGGAAUGUUUUUGUCACACACAACCUCUCCAUUUUUCACUAGCCUCUUUUUCUUCUUCUUUCUACUCCUUUUACUCUUCUGUAGGGCAGACUCUAAAGCCUCCUUUGCCUGUAAUCUAGUAGUAGGACACUUAGGAGAAGGCUCGGGAGUGGUUACUGCCCUCCUUUUGGCAAUGAACGCAUAUAGAGUAACAUUAUCUUGAUCUUCUUCAUCACUAGACCUCAUAGCAGGAGCCAAAAUUUCUAACGGCUCAACAUCAAAGUGAGGAGAAGGAGCAGGGUCAAAAUUGACCUGGGAAGAAGAUCCUUGACCUGUUUCCUCAGGAGAGGGGUCAUGUCCUUCAAGAAGGGUCCCAGUAGUUUCUUCUGGUGCAGGGUAUUCAAAGAGCACCACAGUUACUUCUCCCACUAACGACUAAGUCUCUACUCCCUAAGACACAGGCAUAGUAGAGAUGACCCCACACAUUAUUCCUUUGGCAGAUAUGGCCAAUAUGUUUUCUAUAGCCUCUUUCUCUUAAGAUUCCAUGGGUGCAACAAACUCUGAGAUGGGAACAAUUGUAGACUAAUCAAUACUAACCUUUGAGACUUUUUCUGCCUAUAGAGCCUCACUUUGUUCUCUAUCUUUGCUUUGUGCUGUGAGAAUCUCAGGCGAUAGAGACAAAAAGCUAUCGAGUUUGGGGGUUUCUGAGUUCUCAACACUUAGAGGGAGAGAGAGGUCUGAGGGAGUGAUAGGAGAAAUAUAGGGUGAAGAGGAGUCAGGUUUAGGGGUAUCAUUUGUAGUGGUGGUAGAAAAGGGGAUGGUGAGAGGUGUUUCACUAGAAACGGAAGAAUCAAGGGUUUUCUCUGGGGUUUUCUCAACUAAGGGGUGGAUUAUUGGUUGAUCUUCAGCCAUGGUAGAGAAGAAGUUUGAAGAUUUUACAGAAGGGCUGAAGAGAAGAGAUGAUCAUUCAAAGUGAUGAGAGGGUUUUAAUGGGAGAAAAGACAAUUAUAAGGGAGAGAGAAACCGGUUCUAAAAUGGCGGUAGUUUUGUGGGGAGAUGCAACGUUUCAUAGGGAGGUAAAGGAAUUUGAAUGAAAAAACGUGACAUACAGGGUCUGAAAAGGUUGAUGACAUGGCACUCAAUUUUUAUUUCCUUUUAAGAUAUGUAUGAAAAGCACAAGACUACUAACAUGUGGUACAAGAACUAGGUUCUUGACCUGUCUUUCAAAAGUUCUCAAUCCUCUUUUACCUCUCAUGCAGUGCUUCUGCAGCUUCUAUAAUCAUCAUGUGUGUUUACCUGCAACGGUAUUGAUGUGAGUUUGACUUGACCGAAAAGCAGUUUAGCUACUUUACCUGAAUGUGACUUUCUAGCCAUAUAGAAGGAAUCAAAUUCUCAAAUAGGCUUUAUUAGCCCCAGGUCUAGCCUAUUUCUCUCAAAAUAUUCUCUACUUAGUGCUUUGGUGAAGAUAUUUGUGAUUUGGUCUUCUGUACUAUAAAACUUCAUGCAGAUGAGCCCUUUCUCCAUGUUGUCUCUAAGAAAAUAAUGUCUCACAUCAAUGUUCUUGGUUCUUUUAUGUUGAAGCGGGUUCUUGGAAAUGUUGAGUGCACUAGUGUUGUCACAUAGAAGAGACACACAGUCAGUAUACACACCAAAAUCUUCUAACUACUGUUUGAUCCAUAGGAGAUAAGUAUGGCAGGAAGCUGCAGCAACAUAUUCUGCUUUAGCUUGAAGAAAGAGCAACUGAAUUUUGCUUCCUUGUGCCCCAUGAGAUGAGACAUGAUCCUAGAAAGUGAGCCAUUCCAAAUGUGCUUUUCCUAUAUACAAGAUAACCUGCAUAGUCAGCAUCAGCAUACCCAAUAAGAUUUAAAUUGUCACCUGAAGGAUAGUACAUGACUAGGUCCUAUGUUCCCUUAAGAUAUCUCAAAAUUCUUUUGGCAGCCUUCAGAUGAGAUUCCUUGGGAUUUGACUGAAACCUUGCACAUCGACCCACACUAAAGACAAUAUCUAGUUUGUUAGCAAUGAGAUAGAGAAUAGACCCAAUAAUGCCUCUAUACAUGGUUUGAUUUAUAGGAGAGCUAGAUUCAUCCAUGUCCAGUCGAGUAGCAGUGGCGAUAGGAGUGUUAAUCACUUUUGAUGCUUCCAUAUCAAACCUCUUCAGGAGUUCCUUGAUGUAUUUCUACUGACUGAUGAAUGUACCCUUUGUGGACUGCUUCACUUGAAGACCCAAGAUGAAAUUCAACUCACCCAUCAUGCUCAUCUCAAACUCACUUCCCAUGAGUUUUGCAAAUUUUUCACAUAGUGAAUCAGUUGUUGCCCAAAAAAUGAUAUCAUCAACAUAUACCUAAAAGAUGAGAAGGUUCCUCCCUCGUUUCAUCAGCAACAAAGUGUUGUCAAUUUUUCCUCUUGUAAAACCAUUUUCUAAGAGAAACUUUGACAGUCUUUCAUACCAAGCUCGAGGAGCCUGCUUCAACCCAUACAAUGUCUUGUCCAAUUUAAACACAUAAUCAGGCUGUUCAUGACAUUCAAAGCUUGGAGGUUGCUUUACAUAAACUUCUUCCUUAAGUAAUCCAUUCAAAAAUGCACUUUUGACAUCCAUUUGGAAUAGAGUGAAUUCCAUAUGUGAAGCAAGGGCAAUGAGGAUUCUGAUAGCUUCCAUACGAGCAACCAUCAUAAUCAAUUCCUUCCUCCUGAUUGUAGCCUUGAGCCACUAGCCUUGCCUUGUUCCUUGUAGUGUUUCCAUGUUCAUCAAGCUUAUUCCUGAAUACCCACCAGGUUCCUAUGAUGGUUCGAUUUGAGGUUCGAACUGAUGCAACUCAUCUUGCAUGGUUGUGAUCUAGUCUGCAUCUUUUAAGGCUUCCUUGAUGUUUUUGGGUUCUAUUUGGGAAAGAAAGGCUGAACAAGAAAGUGAAUUUCUAGUUUUUGAUCUGGUUUGUAUUCCUCAAUCUAGAGGGGUAAUUAUGUUGUCAAGAGGAUGGGAGCUUUUAUGUUUCCAGUUGGGCACUUAAGAUUCAUUUGUAGAAGACCUGGGUAAGUCUGACUGGUUACCUUGCAUUCUUCUCUCAGCUACCUGUGGAGUACUUUGAACUGCAUCAACCACUCUUUCUUCAGCUUCAGUGGUUGUAAUUAUGGUACAUGAUUCCUCUCCGGCUGAUUAGGAAGAGACUGCAUUGUCUUCACUUGACUCGUUCACUUGACUCAUCAUGUCUAUCUUUCCGUUUGUCAUAUAAAUGACUUCACCUGGAACCAACAGAGGCUCUUCAUCUUGAUCAUCCUUGUUUCGUUUCUCACAAGAGAGAUAGGACUCAUCAAAGAUUACAUGUACACUUUCAUCAACACACUGAGUUCGCUCAUUGUAUAUCUUAUAGGCUUUAAUUUGAGAAGAGUACCCCAAAAAGAUUCCUUAAUCACUCUUGGCAUCAAAUUUUCCAAGAUGAUCCUUUCCAUUGUUGAGAACAUAACAUUUACACCCAAAUGUUCUUACGUGAGUCAGCUUGGACUUCCUUCCAUUUAGCAACUCAUAGGGAGUUUUGUUCAAAAGAGACAUGAUCAUACACCUGUUCACCAAGUAGCAGGCAGUGGUGAUAGCUUCAGCCCAGAAGUUCUUAGCAAUCCCACUAUUGAUCAGCAUUGUUCUUGCCAUUUCCUCAAGGGUUUUGUUCUUCCUUUCCACAACUCUAUUUUGCUGUGGAGUUAUUGGGGCUGGGAAAUUGUGAGUAAUGCCAUUCUCGUUACAGAGUUCAUCAAACUUAGCAUUGUUAAACUCUGUUCCAUGAUCUGAUCUAAUGCAUGCUACUCUUGAUUCCAUCUUCACUUGGAUUUUCUUCACAAAGGCUACGAAAACUUCAAAGGUUUCAUCUUUGUUCUAAGGAACAGAGUCCAAGUGAAUCUAGAGUAUUUAUCCACAAUCACAAAGAUAUAUCUCUUUCCUCCCCAACUUUGCACUCUCAUAGGGCCGCAUAGAUCCAUAUGAAGGAGAUCAAGUUGUUUUGAGGUGCUGACAUCCUUCUUUGGCUUGAAUGAGGAUUUCACAUGCUUCCCUCUAGCGCAUGCAUCAUAGACUGUGUUUUUUGAACUUUGACAUGGGCAGAUCACGAGCUAGGUCCUUCUAAACCAGCUUAUUUAGUAGAGAGAAGCUUGUAUGCCCCAGUCUUCUAUGCCACAGUUCAACAUCAUCAUCAACUGCUUUCAAGCAACUCAGAUCACUACUUUGCAUGGACUCAAAAUCAACAACGUAGAUAUUCUUGUAUCUUUUGGCCACAAGUACCACUUCACCAGUUACUAGGUUUGUAACUAUGCAUAUCUUGGACAAGAAUUCCACCUUUUUUCCUUUAUCACAUAUCUGAGGGACACUCAAGAGACUGUACUUAAGGCCAUUGACAUAGUACACAUUCUCAAUUGAGUGAGUGAGUGACUUUCCAAUUUUUCCAACACCAAGAAUGUACCUAUUUUUCCCACUUUCAAAGGAUGCAUUCCCUCCUUGCACGGUUUUUAGUGAAAGAAAGUCCAUGGUAUUUCUAGUCAUGUGCUUUAAGCAUCCACUAUCCAUGAACCGUUGUUGACUACUUUCUUUCACUGUUCCCUACACAAGUAGAUCACGGUUUAGCUUUAGGAACCCAAACAAAUUCGGGUCCCUUAUAAUAAAUAAGAGGAUGAUUAAGUGCUAUUCUGGUCUAUGCAGGUAACAUGCGUUUUUUAUGGGUGGAACCUAUUCCUCUUUUAGGAGUUACUCUUUCAGCAAAAACUUUGUUCUUCUGAAGAGACUGAACCCUGGCUUUGCAAUUUUCUUUCAAAUGCUUAUUGUUCCCACAGUAGGUACACAUCUAGUUAUCAGGUAUAAUUACGUACUUGCAAUGAGAGUUAUAAGGAGUUCUCUCCCUUUGAAACCCUAUUCUUUGCCUGUUUCCACCAUUAUUAAUGUACAUGUCAGUAAUAGCAUUUGAGGACCAGGUCCACUUAAGGGACUUCUCAAGAUCAUUUUUUACUCUUUCCAAUUCUGCUUGGAGCUGUCUAUUUUUCUCAAGUUCAGCACACAAACUAGUUCUCACAGUAUUUAACUUGUUUUCAAGCUUAAUGUGUGCCUCACUAGCUACUUCUUUUCCUUUUUUAGAAUUUCCUCGCCUACACUCAGCUCUGAGUCCCUCUAUUGUUUCCUUUAAGUAUACAAUCACUACUAAGAGGUCAUCUCUCUCCUGCUCAAUAAUAGUCACUUUAUCCACUAAGGCAUCCUUUUCUUUACUGAAAUUCUCAAUGGUUUCUUUUAAGUCAACUACUACUAUAAUCAGAUCAUCUCUUUCGUGUUCUAUACUAGUGAUUUUCUCAAUUACAACCUUCUUUUCAUUUUCUAGAUUAUCUAUAGUUUCUUUCAAAUCAACCACACAGAUUACCAAGUCAUCUCUGGUUUGCUCAGCAUCUCCUAAUUCUAUGGUCAAGCCAUCAUUAUCAUUUACAAGACUAUGAUAGGCAUCAAUUAACAUAUUUGCUAAUGACAUAAGUUUCUUAUGAGAGUAGGAUUUCAUAUUUCUCUGAACAUCCCUAAAGUUUACCUUAUCAUUAUCGUCAUUUUCAUCAUUGUCUGAUUGAGCCAUCAAAGGAAAUAUUGAAUCAUAUUCAUUUUUUUCACUUUCAACGGCUAUCAUAGAACUAUCACUUGCAUCAGUUUCUUCUUCAGUCUCACUGGAGGAAUCUCCCCAUGCUGCAAGAGCUUGUUUCACAACGUUAUCAGUGGUAUUCUUUCUUUUGAAGCAUUUGUCAAGAACCGGGUUCCACUUGGCUGCUUUAUCAGGGUUAUACUUGAAGUGUUCUUGCUUUAGGAGAGGGUAAUCUUUGAUAAAAUGCCUUGGAUUUCCACUUUUAUGACAAAGGUCAUAAUUCUUUGGUCUGCUGGAAAUGCCUCUCUUUGGUAUCCCUCCAUUCCUUCUGACCAUUUUCUGAAACCUUUUGGUUAGGUAAGCCAUGUCACAGUCCUCCUCACUUGAGUCAUUGCUUUCAACUUUGAGUACCAGGUUCUUUUCCUUCUUUGGUUCUCUUCUUUCACUGUCCUUCUUCUUCUUCAUUUCGCAAGUUUUAAGAUUUCCAACUAGCUCAUCUAUAGUUAGGGCCUGCAAAUCCUUUGCUUCAGUAAUGGCAUUCCCUUUACUCUCCCAUGAAUUGGGCAAAAACUGAGAAUUUUCCUCACGAGCUUGUUCCUAGGAAUGAUUUUACCAAGCGAGUGUAGCUCAUUUAUGAUGGAAGUGAAUCUUGUGUGCAUGUCUUGAAUAGAUUCAUCGUCUUUCACCCUGAAGAGCUCAUACUUAGUGGUGAGCAUAUCAAUCUUAGAUUGCUUUACUUGAGUGGUUCCCUCGUGUGCUGUUUGUAAAGCUUCCCAUCAUUCCUUGGUGGAUUGACAAGCUGAGAUCUUUUUGUAUUCAUCAGGUCUUAUGUCAAACACCAAAAAAAAUUGGCACAAAAGUUUUUCUCCACAAUUUUCUUAUCUGCAUCACUGUAUUCUUUCCUGGUUUUUGGCGUCGUCAGUGGAGGGUUUUCGCCCUUCUUUGUUGGGACAUAAGGACCAUCACAUAUAAUAUCCCACAACUCAGAAUCUUCUGCCAUGAUAAAGUCAUGCAUUCUUGUCUUCUACCAUCCAUAGUAUUGCCCAUUGAACCUGGGUGGUCUAUACGUAGACUGACCUUCUUCAAAAUUUGGUGGAGCAGCCAUGAGGAUCCUUCCUAGAUGUGAACCUGAUAGAAAGAACUCGUUCUGAUACCAAUUGAUAGAAUAUAUAAGCUCACCAAACUAUAUAGAGACCAGUUUCUAUAUAGGUUUCCACAGAUAACACUAAUGCAAUAGUAAGUAAAUGGUACAGGGAACUUUUACAUGGAAAAAUCCCUGAUCAAGGGAAUAAAAAACCACGACCUACACUGGUAGGAUUUCAACUUCACUAUGAGCAAUCUUUAGAUUACAAUCUAUGCAAUCUAGGAAAUAAACUCUUAAUCCCUCCCUAACUUGUAAUAUACCUAUUACAAGCCACUUUGCAAUACACCUAUUACAAAGACUUCAACUCAUGACUAACUCUAGUCACGACACAAACACUAAAGGUUUAUGAUUUUUCAAGAGUUCCUAAAAGAAGCUUCUAAAUAAGCAAAGUAGGAAUUUCAAUGAAGAACAAUUACAAAGUUACAACUCAACUAAAGACAUAUACAAGAGACUUGUUGUCGGAACUAGUCCAUAGUAGUGUUAUACUUUGUUCUUGAUGCACUUGAGAAUUGAAUGCUUGAUUGUCAAAUGCUUGAAUGCUUUUGUGAAUUCUCUAAGUGUCCAAGUGAUGUUUUGUCGUAAUGUUUAAUGUUAAUACAACAUGGAUGACAUCACAUGAAUGAUAUAAUCACUUCGUAGGUCAAUAAGAAGUGACUGCUGAACUUGUUCCCUAGGUGCAACUAUAAAUAGUGACUUCAACAGUCAUUGUAAAGGACACGAAUUUUCUGACCAACUUAUGCUACAUACUACUUGAAAAGCUCAAUAAUACUUUAUUUCUUGUCUAUUGAUAUUUAUAUUUCUGCCUUCGGAAGCCUGCUCUCGAAACCAAGCUAUCUUCUGCCUUAUCUCGAUUUCAACGCUAAGUUUUGUAUUUUAUUUAUCAUUUUGGGAUCAAAUCGAUUCUCUUGUCUAUAAACCACGUUAUAAAUUCAACUGUACCGUUUUACGGAUAAACAAUUGGCUACUUGAAAUGGAGGUUUACAAAUUAAAUGAUCAAUUGCCAUAUCAUGUACUGUGUUUAAAUUUGAUAUAUUGAAUAGUACAUGCGAUCAGAAAAUGAUCGACAUGCAUAUAAGCCAAUGGAGCUAGUUCAACUAAUAUCUUCUUUACAUUUUAUUUUCAAGUAAAACAUUACAUUCAAUUGUCGACUCUCCACAAAACAAGAAACCUAAUGGGGAACAGAAGGAGCAAUCACAAAUUAUUAAAUAACGUCUAAGCAUGAUUCAUCUACAUGAAAAAUAGUGAAAGAAGAAAAACGACUCCCAUAGAAGAAGCAAAGGCCAAAAAUUUUGGAGAAGCAGAUGAUGAGGAAGGAGCCUUAGCAUCUGAAGACGAUGAGUGAUCGGAAGAAGGCAAAGGUGAAGGAGAAGGAGCAAGAGGCGUACGUGACUUGAAGCCAAUGGUGAAGUUGCAAGUCCCNNNNNNNNNNNNNNNNNNNNNNNNNNNNNNNNNNNNNNNNNNNNNNNNNNNNNNNNNNNNNNNNNNNNNNNNNNNNNNNNNNNNNNNNNNNNNNNNNNNNNNNNNNNNNNNNNNNNNNNNNNNNNNNNNNNNNNNNNNNNNNNNNNNNNNNNNNNNNNNNNNNNNNNNNNNNNNNNNNNNNNNNNNNNNNNNNNNNNNNNNNNNNNNNNNNNNNNNNNNNNNNNNNNNNNNNNNNNNNNNNNNNNNNNNNNNNNNNNNNNNNNNNNNNNNNNNNNNNNNNNNNNNNNNNNNNNNNNNNNNNNNNNNNNNNNNNNNNNNNNNNNNNNNNNNNNNNNNNNNNNNNNNNNNNNNNNNNNNNNNNNNNNNNNNNNNNNNNNNNNNNNNNNNNNNNNNNNNNNNNNNNNNNNNNNNNNNNNNNNNNNNNNNNNNNNNNNNNNNNNNNNNNNNNNNNNNNNNNNNNNNNNNNNNNNNNNNNNNNNNNNNNNNNNNNNNNNNNNNNNNNNNNNNNNNNNNNNNNNNNNNNNNNNNNNNNNNNNNNNNNNNNNNNNNNNNNNNNNNNNNNNNNNNNNNNNNNNNNNNNNNNNNNNNNNNNNNNNNNNNNNNNNNNNNNNNNNNNNNNNNNNNNNNNNNNNNNNNNNNNNNNNNNNNNNNNNNNNNNNNNNNNNNNNNNNNNNNNNNNNNNNNNNNNNNNNNNNNNNNNNNNNNNNNNNNNNNNNNNNNNNNNNNNNNNNNNNNNNNNNNNNNNNNNNNNNNNNNNNNNNNNNNNNNNNNNNNNNNNNNNNNNNNNNNNNNNNNNNNNNNNNNNNNNNNNNNNNNNNNNNNNNNNNNNNNNNNNNNNNNNNNNNNNNNNNNNNNNNNNNNNNNNNNNNNNNNNNNNNNNNNNNNNNNNNNNNNNNNNNNNNNNNNNNNNNNNNNNNNNNNNNNNNNNNNNNNNNNNNNNNNNNNNNNNNNNNNNNNNNNNNNNNNNNNNNNNNNNNNNNNNNNNNNNNNNNNNNNNNNNNNNNNNNNNNNNNNNCACCAAACCAAUAACAUAUAAUCAAUUGAAAGGCGAUUUGACAUUAUAUAUGAAGAGGAACCUGAAUAUAUGUCACUACCUAGCUAUUCGGAUAUUAAGAAGGCAAAAAGAUAUAUAACAACAAUAACAACGACCCAGUAAAAUCUCACAGGUGGGGUCUGGGGAGGGUAGUGUGUACGCAGACCUUACCCCUACCCGAAGGAAUAGAGAGGAUGUUUCCAAAAGACCAUCGGCUCAAGAAAACAGAAAAGACGAGAAGAGAUAAUAUAUUGGUACCAUCUAAUAGAAACCAAAGAAAUAAUAACAACAUCAUAAGAAUUAGAAAAUAGUUAAAAUGCAAUAAAAAAAACAGAAAAUAAGCUCCGAUACCAUGAUAUAUACUUACGUGAUAUUAACACCUUUAGGAGACUUUGGAUCGAAACGAGUGACGUUUUCUUUGACCCAUUUCGUGGCUACAUCAGGAUUGACCAAAUCCUUGAGGAGUUGAUUGGAGAUGCCAAUCAUGACCUCAAUGCCAGUUCCUGCCAAGGCAUUCAAGAUGGUCUCAUCGUUAUUGAAAAGUUUAACCUUCUUAAUGCCAUUUUCUUGCAACAUUUUUACCACAUCCUUAGGAGGCAACUUGUGGGAGGAGAUAUCACCCCAGUUCACCCCAAGUCCUUCCACAUUGUGCCCCAAAAACACCAACAAAGUUAGUAGGGCCAAAAACUUUUUUCCCAUGUUUUUUUCCUUUUUUUGUAUUUUUGUUUUGGUUUUCCUGCUGGCAGGAGGAAAAUGGGAUACUGGGUAAACUUGAAUGCUUCAACGCCUGCCAAUGGUAACAACAAUGUUGGAGGUGAAUUUAUAGGGAAAGAAGGAGAGCAAAUGGAGGGUAUUGCAUGAAUUGCAGUCAUUCCCCAUUAGAUGUCAAACAAUGUCGAAAAUUAAGGAAUGGUUUGGCUCAUAAUUCGGACAUGCAGUUUAAAAAGCAUACGGAUUUAGACAAACAAAAAGUGGAAAAUAUAAUGUUAGUUAAUCUCUGAUAAAUUACAACCAGACAACAACUUGUGAACAAAAUUGCUCAAGUACGUGAAUUACUCCUGCUACAUUGGUGCGGCUACGUCAUGCAUUACUUCCACAUUUCAUCUGCAUUUUUAUUUUGUCAUUUAAAGGAAGGAAAUACUCUUUCAGCCUAAAUUUUUGUCACUUCUCAUUGGCUAGGGACCGACUAACUUAACCCUGUUAUUGAGUUAAAUUGAACAAAGUUAGAUUUUCCUCCGAUCAUUUAUAUAAAAAGAUACACUUAGCCAAACAAUAUUUAAUUUGACUAUUGAGAAACAGAAAAGCAAAAUCAUUUUUGCAUUGCGAAAUUACUAAAUUCACUAUUAGAUAGAACUAAUUUUUGCCAGUUGCCUACAAGGUACUAGGCGCAAUAAGAUAGAUCAAGUUAUAGUAUAAGGUGGAAAAAUAUUCCCCAAUAGGACUAAAAUGUUUUAAAUGCAAGACAAAAUUUUGAUGGCAAUUUAGUGGUUUUUAAUUGAAGAAAAAAUUAGAUGGCGUUUUAUUAUGGUAAUCUUAUCCACACAAAUACUUUUCAAUUCCUAAUUGUGAAUUGUUUUCCAUUGAAGGCAGCAAACAUAUUAUUUAUAAACAUUUGUCGUAGGAAGAGGGCGCGUAGGAUGGGGCAGAGAGUACAGUCAUCAUGAAAUCAUAUUCAAGUAAUCAUGAUUAAUAGUUUCAAAGCAUCACUAGAUAGACUAAGAACGGGCGGAUCGAGGAUUUUAAGAGGAUGGGUGCACGAUUGUACAGAUGUAGAUAUAGAAUUUAUAUUUGACUGGUUUAACUUUAGUCUCUUACUAUGACCUACUACAUUUUCAAAAUUAUAGAUUCAAAAUUAUAUUUUUAUUUGAAAUUUUAGUAGUUUUCACAUAUAUAUCUAUACUCCGUGCCGAAAACAAGACCGUUCAGAGUGGGAUUUGAAUUACCAAUUUCACUUGUAGAGGUGCACGCAAUAAUAAUUGCACCAUAAUAGAAUUUGAACAUGAGUUCACACAUAUAUAUUUAAGUAAUUUUGAAAAAAUAUAAUAUAGUUAUAUAUAAUUUAUGAUUUAGGAAGAGGAGUAUGGGUUCACGCGAUCCCAUAUCCGUCAAGUUGGACAGGAAUACCUGAACUUCCUGAGCUUACUCACACCCAAGAAAUGAAGGAAUCACUCCAUCUUAUUAACAAACUGCUAAUGAUCCUCUUAUAUACAUCUAUGUCCAAACUUUCCAAGUGCACUCCGUCGGACACUUAACACUUUAUAUAUAAGUAGUCUUGCUAAUUGUGCAACUGUAAUGUAACGAUCUGAUCGCUCAUUUUAAGAAUUUAUGUUCCAUUAGGUGGCUUAAGAUAUCGAGUAGCUUCACAUUGUGUAUUAUAACUUGCGUAUAUGGUCGGAUUCGAUUGUCGGGUGAUUCGAGAUUGAUAUGGAGGGAUGGUUCUCAUUUUAGAAACUUAAGUGGUAAAUAUUGAUCGGAGUUUGACUAUUAUAUAGAUGACUAUGGAAUGGUAUUUUGAUGAUUCCAAUAAUUUUGUAUGGUAAUUUUGAACUUAGGCGUAUGUCCGGAUUUAAAUUUGGAGGUCCAUAGGUUGAUUUGAUGCAUUUUGCAGAAGUUGAAAAGUUGAAGGUUUGGAAAGAUGAGAGGUUUAACCAGGAGUUGACUUUAUUGAUAUCUGGUUCAGAUUUUGAUUUCGGAAGUUGGAAUAGCUCUGUUGUGACAUUUGGGACUUGCAUGCAAAAUUUGAGGUCAUUCCGAGUUGAUUGAUAUGAUUCGGCGCGAGUUGUAGAAGUUGAAAAUUCAUUAGUUUAUUAGACUUGAAUUGAGGUGCAAUUCAUAGUUUCGAUAUUGUUUGAUGUGAUUUGAGGCCUAGAGAAGGUCCGCGUUAUGUUAUGAAACUUGUUGAUAUGAUCGGAUGGGGUCCCGGGGGCCUCGGGUGUAUUUCGGAUGUGCUACCGUCCAUUCCUUCAUAUUUUAGAGUUGUUAGGUUCUCUGUUAUUCAGCAGUUCUAUGCGUUCGCAUGUGGAAGAUGCGAUCGCGAAGUGUAUGUGGUGUGACUAAGGAGUUACUCAUCACGUUCAAGAGUUGGUCAUCGCAUUCGCUUCCAUCAUGUCAUGAUCGCAUAGAUUUAGAGCUGGAGGGGAGCUAGGGGAUUGGCUAUUGUGGUCGUGUGAAUAGUGUCGUGUUCGCAUAGUUCAGUUGAGCUGAUGGGUCGCAUUUGCGAAGGGUUAUUUGGCAGCUUAUGAUUUUGUGCUUCACGAUCGCAAAGCAUGUUCCCUAAUCGCGAAGAGAAAGACCUAGGCAGACUAUAUAGUACUCUAUUUUCUAGGGCUUUUUGUCAUUUUAUCUCUUUUUGAGUUAGAGAGCUCGGAUUUGGACGGUUUUGGAGAGAAUUUUUCACCAUUUGGAUUGAGGUAAAUAUUCUUGACUCGGAUUUAGUUAUAUUUCAUGAUUCCAACUUUAUUUUUAUCAUUUAAUUAGUGAUUUGAAUUGGAGAAAUUUGGGUUUUUUGUAAUAAAACUUCUAAAACACAAAAAUGAUAAUUUCAAGGUCUAUUUGAUGUCGGAAUUGGAUAAUUUUGGUAUGGUUGGACUCGUAUUGGAAUGGGUACAGUGUUCAAAUUUUGUGAGUUUUGUCGGGUUCAUUGUUGAGUUAUUUUUUCCCAUUUUAUUUUUUUUAUUGAGAUUCUUGUACAUAUUAUGGUUGAGUCAUGGGCUAUGUGUUGUGGUGAUAUUGGUAUUGUUGUUUUGGAAAGGGUUGUGGCCUAUGGGCACUUGUUGUGCGAGUUGUUAUGUUGUGUUAUUUUUUAUGUUAUCACAUGCAAUUUUGUUGUGUGGUUUGAUUGUGGUUAUGCGGAUCAUAAGGGUAGCAUAUCACUUUUGUUGAUUAUGUAGAGUGAUAUGGGUGGCUAUGGUGUUAUUGUCUUAACAGAGAGAUACAGGUGGCUAUUAUGUGGAGCAAUAUGGGUGAUUAUGCGAAGUGAUACAGGUGGCUAUUGUGUUAUUGUCUGGGCGUAGCAAUAAGGAUGGAUAUUAUGAUGUUGUCAAUACGGAGAGAUAACGUUUGCUAUGUCAGGGAGGAUAUGCGAUGUUCUUGGGGCACUAUGCUGAUGAUAUUUGUGUCAUAGUGUGAGUUUUUCUUGUGUAUGUCAUGCACCUUACGUGACUUGUUGUGUUUAUUUCAAUGAGCUACUCGAUGUCUGUAUAUUAGUUGUUGACUUGGACUGUACUAGUACACUCCACAAGCAUACAUUGUAUCAUGCCACUUAUACCAGUUCAAGAGUAUGAAACUUGACAUUUAUUGAUCAUGCCUAUGUAGUAUUGUAUUAUCUACUUCCAUUGUGAUAUUGAGCCUGUGAUCAUGCCAAGAGAAUUGUGGUAGUGAGCCUAUGACCAUGCCAGGCAGAUUUCGGUAUUGAGCCUGUGACCACGCCGAUCAAAUUUUGAAUGUGAUCCUGUGAUCAUGUCGGGUGGAUUGAGAUAUUAGCACGUGAUUUGUUCGUACAGUUGUGGUUAAUAAUGUGGGCACAAGGUACCGUGAGCAUAUGAUUGAGAUAUCUGAGUCGUCAUCAGUCCCAUCAUCAAAAGCUUGAUGGGCGUUAAUAUGUGCAUGUGGGCAUUCAUUGUUCCAAUGUGGUCCACCGCAAUGAUGGCAUCCUGAAGGAGGCUUUUUCCUCUGGUCAUUUUUGUUUGACGCAACACUAUUGCUGUAUAAGGAGGGAGCCUUAGAUCAGGCUACACUCCAAUCUCCCCCACUUCUACUAGGGCCACCAUUGCUAGGUUGGCCCCCUUUGAAUCCCACUCAGGCAGGCAGCUGAGGCAUAUCCUUCCAAUCUUCCACUUGAUAGUUCCUAAGGCAUGCAGCUGCUUGGAUCGCCUUGGGUAGGGUAUCUACCCUUUGUCGUUGCAGCUCCAUACAUGCAUAAGGUUUUAACCCUUCCAGGAAGGUGAAGAGCUUGUCUUUGUAACCCAUGUCACAUAUGUUUAGCAUGAGCGUGCAGAAUUUCCGCACGUAGUCCCGCACUGAUUUGGUCUGGUGGAGCUCCCAUAGCUUUCUCCUUGCGUUGUAUUCAACAUUUUCGCGGAAGAACUGUACGCGUAUGGCUUCCUUCAGUUCUGCCCAUGUCUCGAGAGCAUCUUCAUCGGCCCUGAUGGCUUCGUACUUCACCCGCCACCAGAGUUCAGUAUCACCCUGAAGAUACAUGGCAGCAGUUGCUACUUUCUUAGCUUCUUCUAGGCCUCCAACAACAUUGAAGUACUAUUUGAUGUUAAAGUUGAAGUUUUCCACUUCCUUGGCAUUCCUAGCCCACUGUAUGGCUUUACAGCGCCCCUGAUUUGGUUUCCACCUUCUUGAAGCAGGCCGUGUAAAGCAGCAUUGACAACAUUGAGAUGGUCCGUCAAGUUGUCAAUAGUUUGUUGUAUGGCAGUCAUUCUGUCUGCCUCUUGUACCCUAUAGGCUAAAUCCUCAGCACGCUCUUGUUGGAAUCCCUCGAAUUUGCCAAAAAUUCUGGCUGCCUCUGUGGCUGCCAUUUGUCGGUCUCCCUCGGAGUCGCGACUGAUGUUUUCUAUGUCAACUUCGACCUGGAGCACUCUGCGAUCUAGGUCGUCCAACCUUUGCACUAGACUGGUUCUUAAUUCACGCAUCGUAUCCCAAAUGGGGCGUAAUGCGGCAAUCGUCUCUUCAAGGGCCGCAAUGCGGUCCCCAUGAUUCACCAUGGUCAAAAAUGGUGGUAAUGGCAAUGCGUUCCCUCAUCCAAUAUCGAGCCUAGGCUCUGAUACCAACUGUUACACGGCGCCUUCCUCAAAUUCCUUGGAAGGGCGACGUAAGGCUAAGCAACUAAUGUCAGUGUAGUUACUGUCCGCCAACUGAGGUCCCCUCCGUACGCUAGACGAGAUUGUCAAUGUCGUACGGAAAAACCAAUGUCAAGAGCAAUUGAGAGAACAGAAAAGAGAAUUGAGAAUGAAAUAAAGCUUGAUUGCAUUAAUGAAAGCUAUUACAGAAAAGCAACAUGGUGUCGAGGGGGUAAGACACCAGUACAGAGAAUUAUUUGCUUGCUAGAAAGUUUGAUUGCUUGAACCCUCCUAAUAUUGCUUAAAAAAAUAAACCAAAACUACAAGACUAGACUUGACUAAGCUAGAUAAACAUAAUGGAAAUACAUGAAAUAAAACUACUCUAUAUUUACAAUGAAAAGGACUUAGUUUUCUGCAAGGCAGAAACACGUCCGUUGUCAGCAGCAUUGUCUUUGGCAUCACGGUCUGUGCGCGCGGCGCAGUUGGCAUCUACCUGCGGCUGGGCACUGGCGAGGGAUAUCGGUGGGGUGACAAAGGUACAUGCACGCUUUUCACUUGGCACAGCCAAGACCACGGGGCCGUCUAUGGCGCUAGGCGUUGGGAGGCUCCUAGGACGCCACGGGGCGCGUACAAGGGGUCAUGGGGCAUGGCUGGAAAGCCGCCUAUGACAGUUAUCAUGCUUUCUUCUCAGUUUCAGCAAGAACAAGUCCUUAAAAUAGUAAAUAGUGAUGAAGGUUAGAACUUAAAAUAUAUAAUCAUGCAAAUAAUAAUCUACAACUUCCAUAUGAUCGCAAAAUUAAAUUAAAUAGCAAUGAAAAUUAAAAACAAUGUUUAAAAGGACUCUAAAGCAAGCUUGUGAGAGAAUUUAUAAUUGAAAGAAGACUCGUCAAUGACAUAUUUACUCCAGAGAAAGACUUAGAAUAGGCAGCCCGGUACAUAAGGCAUCUCGUGUAAUAUUAGUGCAUGAUCUAUAUAAAGCAAAAUUUUAAAAUUUUAAGUUCUAAAUAUUAGGAGUUUCGGUCCAAAUAAGAAAAAAAUUAAUCAAUAAAAAUUUGAAACUUCUUAUAAUUAUAAAAAUAAUGAAAUGACUUAUUAAAUGAGGUUUUUUAAAUAAUAAUUAUCAUUAAUUUGGAGGGACAUCAUAUUUUCCUUUUUGUUUAUAAAGAUUAAGUUUGAAAUGGAAAAAGGCAUUAGUUUUAAAUUAGUCUUUUGUUGUAGGUAAACACUAAUUCAUUAAUAAUAUAUUACUAAAUAUUCUAGAAUUAAAAAUAUAAUAGGUACAUUAUCUCUUAUUAAUAAAAGAAUGGAAAAAACAAAUGUAAUGAUCCGGCCGGUCAUUUUAAGAAUUAACGCCUCGAUCCCCUAUUAACUGCUUUCCCCGUAUUUUGUUUCUGCUAUUGUGAGUUGCCGGGAGGAUUUAUUUGGAGUUUCGGAGAGUUUUGGGACACAUAGUCCCUAACUAAGAGUUUAAGUUGUAGAAUUUGGACCGUAGUUGGAGCAGUAUGAAGAUGGCUUCGGAAUGGAAUUCCGUUAGUUCUGUUAGCUCCAUUGGGUGAUUUCGGGCUUAGGGGUGUGUUCGGAUUGUGUUUUGGAGAUCCAUAGCUUAUUUAGGCUUGAAAUGCCAAAAGUUGAAUUUUUGAAGUUUCCGGUUCGAUAGUGAGAUUUUGAUCUAAGGGUCAAAAUGGAAUUUUGAAAGUGGGAGUAGCUUUGUAGUAUUGAAUGUGAUGUGUGUGCAAAAUUUCAGGUCAUUCAGACGAGGUUUGAUAGAGUUUUUGAUCGAAAACGUAAUUUGAGAGUUUUUGGAGCUCUUAGGCUAAUACAUGGUUAAUUCGAUGUUUCGAUUUUGUUUUAUGUACUUUGAGGAUUGGUAUAAGUUUGGAUAGUGGUCUAUGACUUGUUCGUGCAUUUUGGUUGAGGUCCCAGGGGCCUCGGGAUGAUUUCGGAUGCUUAACAGGAGGUUUGGAGUUGGGAAUUUGCAGCUGAAGCUGCUAAGUUUGUUGUCAUAACAGCACCUGCAGCUUGGGGACCACAGGUGCGAGCCCGCAGAAGCGAAAGUGAAGUCGCAUAUGCGGCCAAGAGGAAGACAAGCUGGAGCCGCAGAUGCGGAAAUUUUUGGUGCAUAUGCGAAGGCACAGGUGGGAGAAGGUCAUCGCAGGGGUGGUGGCUGGCUAAUAAGUGAAGAACUGCAGAUGCGCACCUAGGACCGCAGAUGCGGUUUUGCUGGGUCAGAACAUAUAUAUUUCGCCCUUCGGGAAUUUGGGCUAUUUUUCAUAACAUUUCAAACAGGAAGAAACUUUUGGGAGCAAUUUUAAGGAAGAUUUCAGAGGGAUUCAUUGAGGUAAGGUCCUUGGUUCCUAAGCUCGUUAUUAUAGUAAUUUUUAUCGUUGUUAGCAUGACAUUAAAGGGAGAAAUCAGUGGUAAAUUGGGGGUUAGUGUUUGGUUAAUUGGAGAGCUUUAAGUGGUGAUUUGAGGGACCAUUUGGGGUCCGAUUUUGGUACUUUUGGUAUGACUGAACUUGUGAGAGUGUGAGGAUUCUGAAUUUGUUAAUUUUACUCGAUUAUGAGAUGUGGGCUCGGGGGCGUUUUGGUCAUUUUUUCCUAAUUUCGCGUAUUAGCGUAGAAUUAAUUAGUGGAAUCAGUUACUUGAAGUUAUAUUUACAUUAUGCAAUUGAUUUGAAUAGAUUUGGGCCAUUUGGAGUCGAGUACUCGCGGUAAGAGCGUGGUUUCGGGUUGAGUUUUGAGCCAGUUCGAGGUAAGUGACUUGCCUAACCUUGUGUGGGGGAACUCCCCUUAGAAUUUGGUAUUGUUGAUAUCUAAAAUACCUUGUACGUGAGGUGACGAGUGCGUACUUGUGCUAAUUGUUGAAAAUCCUAUUUUCAUUAAGUAUCUAUAAUUGUGUUCCCUUUCCGGAUUAUACUACUUGCAAUUUAAGCCUACUGUUAGCUUAGAAAAGCAUGUCUAAUUGAAUUAAUUACUUUACUCGCUCAAACUGCCUUACUUGGAUUGUGUCUAACAUGUUAGGUUAGAAAUACCUAUUUUUUCCUUGGUAUGAAAUUUGAACUGGAUUAAGUAUUCUUCAUGUUGUUGUUGUGUGUUUACUUUUGGACUACGAGACGGUAUCCCGGGAGAUCCCCCUUCAUGUUUACGUUGGGACAACGGAUUUGUAUUCCAGGAGAUCCCCCUGCACAUUUAUAUUGGAACUACGAGAUUGCACCCGGUAGAUUCCCCCAGUACUAGGUAUUUACAUUUGGGACUACGGAUCGUUAAUUCGGGAGAUCCCCCCACACUAUGAGUUGUACUACGGGACGACACCCGGGAGAUCUACUGGUUAUUUAUAUUUCGUUAUCCUGGGAGAUCCUAGUUGUUACCUCUGUGAUGAGUUGUAUUCCUUCUGUGAUUAUUUUGUCUCUAUUGUAGUUGUUGUUGUUCUUACUAUCCUAUGGUAUUUCUUACUGUUGCACUUAAUUAUAUUGUCUUAUUCUAUACUAUUAUACCUUGUUUUUCAUCUAAACUCAGUAGGGCCCUGACUUUUCUCGUCACUACCCGACUGAGGUUAGGCUUGGCAUUUAUUGAGUACCGUUGUGGUGUACUCAUGCCCUUUCUACACAUAUUUUUCAUGUGCAGAUCCAGGUACUUAUACUCAGCCCUACUACCCUUGAGGCGCGGCGAUUCUCCAGAGACUUCGAGGUAUAUCUGCCGUGUCCACAGACUGAGGAGUCCCUUUCCAUUCUCCCUUAUAGUAUCAGCCCUUCUGUAUUUACUUUUGUUUAGACAUUCCGGAGUUAGACACUUGUAGUUAUUCAAUAGAUUGUAAUUUCAUGAGAUUCCAAGUUUUGGAAAAUGUUGUUCCAGUACGAGAGUUUGUAUUUUAUAUGUCGAGCGGCAUCUUAAGCGCUUCAUUAUUUCUGCAGUUUUUGGCUAGUUUUAUUCUAUUGUUUUCUGUUUCCGCAAUUUGUUAGUCUUACCUAGUCGUAGAUACUAGGUGCCAUCACGAUAGUUCACGGAGGGCGAACUGGGAUCGUGACAAGUUGGUAUUAGAGCUCUAGGUUCAUAGGAGUCAUGAAUCACAAGCUGGUUUAUUAGAGUCUAGCGGAUCGGUACAGAGAUGUCUGUACUUAUCUACGAGAGGCUAUGUAAAUGUUAGGAAAAAUUUCACUUUAUUUGAUUUCCUUGUCGUGCGAGAUUUUGAUAUCACAAUUCUAAAUUUAUGUCUUCUAUUCUCUCAUAGAUGGUAAGGACACGUACUACCAGAGAUGAUCAUGCACAUGCGCCCCCUACUGGAGCCAUUAGAGGUCGGGGCCGAGGUAGAGGCCGAGGACGCGCACGUGGUGCAGCCAGAGGACUCGCGCGAGUUUUGAUGGGAUUCAUAGGUUUUCAAUAUCUUUGCCUUGUGUUUUGAUGAUCUAACAAACUUAAUGUCAAGAACCAGAUAGGAAAACUUACUCAUUUGGAUUACACUGCAUCUAACGGAUUCUAGCCAAAUGUGAACUUGCUACAGUUUCAGGAGGUAAGAAUCUAGACAAGGACCCGAUACUCCUGUGGGUUCCUCACGACAGUACAAAGUCAAUUGGACAUAGUUGGAAACGAAGAUUAUGCCGUACUGCACUGUUUCCAGCACCCACUCAUUCUCUGACCAACUCAAGUGCUCACAUCACUUCAAGUGAUCAUUCUCAAGGUGUACCUACAAUGAGUCUAUACAAAGCAUCAUUCAAGUUACUCAACUCAAGACAAUCUAGGCAUUGUGCACAAUAACCAGAUCAGGAACCUGAUCCCUUGGUACUUAUCUGACAGAAGUCCAAGUCAACUAUACAAUUGGAACGCAACUGAGUGAUUGAUCGCAACUGUACAAAGAGGAACACAACAGGGACCUGGUCCCUUAGGGUUCUCUGACAAAAGUACAAGUCAACUAUAGCUGGAAAACAAUUACAGAAGGUGAUUGACUGCAACAGUGCAACAGACAGUGCAGCAGUCACUUCCCAUUAAGAUUGGACGUCACUAAGGAUGUCUUGUGUAGCAUAAACCUUAUGCAUGGCAUACGUUUCAGGUUCCAACACUUGCAAAUACAGAAAACGAAUUCUCUCAAAUGCCCAAGAACUCUCUCAAGAACAAAGCUGCUACAACCUCAAGGACCUGAUCCAAGAUUGAAGAUAUCUUAUGUCCUUAGGUUGUUGAGACUUUGUUAUGUGUUCUUCAUUGUAAUUCCUAGUUUGCUUUCUUAGAAGCGUUGUCUUAGGAACAAACCAAAAUCCGUAAACUCCCUGAGUUUAUGUUGUGGCUAGGUUAGUCAUAAGGAAAAGCCUUUGUGACCGUAGNNNNNNNNNNNNNNNNNNNNNNNNNNNNNNNNNNNNNNNNNNNNNNNNNNNNNNNNNNNNNNNNNNNNNGUGGGAUUUUUCCACGUGAAAAUCCACCGCCUUAUUUACAUUCAGCUUUACUAGCAUUCACUGUAGAACCCAAUAAAGGACCAGGUACUAUACUAUUUGGUGGACUCACACAAACUUAGCACUAUACCAAACUGAUAUAGGACCAGAUCCCUAUACAAUUUGGUUCAUCAGUACUUUCAGAGGAAACACAUAGAGAACCCGAUUCUCUAUAAAGUCUUGUGGACGCACAGUCUCUAACAAGUGGUAUCAGAGCAGGUUCUUUCUAUUAGGCUAACACCUAGGAAGGAUCCUCAUGGUUGCUCCACCAACUCUUGAAAGGAGAAAACCAAAGAAGGAAAAGUACCGGGUACUUAAAGCUGCUAACAAUGAUUCGAGUGAGGAAGACAGUUACAUGGCUUACUUAACCAAAAGGUUUCACAAGAUGGUCAGAAGAAAUGGAGAAGUGCUAGAAACGGACAGCUCUAACAGAUCAAACAACAAUGAUCUUUGUUACAAGUGCGGAAAGGCUGGACACUUCAUGAAAAAUUGUCCUCUCUUGAAGCAAGAAUUCUCCAAGAACUUCAAAAGAAAAAGACCAGCUGAAUAUGACUCAACCUUUGCAUUGAUGGCACAACCAGAUGACAAUGAAGACGAAGACAACAAAGAGGUAAAUUUCAGGGAUGUUAAGAGAAAUCUGAAAUCCUAUUCUCCAAGAAAACUCAUGUCUUUAGCUAAUGUAUUAAUCAAUUCCUUUCAUAGGUUUGUGGAGGAUAGAGAUUCUUUGACCUUAGAAUUAGCAGAAUCUGAACAAACUAGAGAUGACUUAACGGCUGUAGUUACUGACCAUAAGAGAACCAUUGAAACUUUCAGAAAAGAAAGGAAUGAUCUUUUGGCAGAAAUUACAGAACUAAGAAAAUCAAUAGUGAAACAUGAGAUUAAGUCAAAACCUGAAAAUCCUGGAAAAGGAAAGGAGAGAGCCAGUGAGGAACACAUUAGGCUUGAAAAUGAGUUGAAAGCUUCUAGAACUAGGAUAUGUGGUGAACUCGAGAAAAAUAAGUAACUUUAAGAUGAAUUGAAGAGAGUAAAAAGUGACCUUGAGAAAUCUCUCAAGUGGACCUGGUCCUCAGAUGCUGUCACUGCCAUGUACUUCAAAAAUAGUAGAAACAGGCAGGGAAUCGGGUUCCAAAAGGAGAAAACUCCUUACAACCUUCACAGCAAGUACGUCACAGUUCCUGAUAACUGGUCGUGUACCCACAGUGGGAACAAUGGGCACUUCAAAGAAAAUUGUCAGGCCAGGGCUCAAUCUAUUCAGAAAAACAAAGUGCUUACUGACAAAGUGACUACUAACAGGGGACCAGGUACCGCUCACAAGAAACCAAUGUUGCCUUCAUGGACUAGAAAGCCCUAAUCCAUCCCUUCUAUCAUAACAAGGGACCCAAACUAGUUUGGGUUCCUAAUCUAACCCAUAAUUUAGAUGUACAGGGAACAGUGGGAGGAAGCGGACUACAAUGGAUCAUGGACAGUAGAUGCUCAAAGUACAUGACUGUAAAUAUCAUGGAUUUUCUCUCACUGAAAGCCCUGCAAGGAAGGGAUGUACCCUUUGGAAAAUGGAAAGAAGGGGUAAAUUCUAGGUAUGGGGAAGAAAACAAGGUAGAAGUUUGUGUCUAAGCUGGUGAUAUAAGCUGCUUGAAUGAGGUUGAUGAUGAUUCGAAGACAUGGCAUAAAGGAUUGGGGGGAUACAAGUUUCUCACUUCUGGAUAUAUUGAUGAAGAAGGACCUGGUCCAUGGUCUGUCAAACUCAAAAUUCAAAGAACACAGAGCAUGCAAUUCUUAUGGGAAUACUGAGCAGGAGUGAAAAGAGGUGCAUGAUUAGACCUCUCCUAAACAAAACCCCCUAUGAGUUUCUUAAUGAAAGAAAAUCAAAGAUAACUCAUUUGAGAACCUUUGGAUGAAAAUGUUAUGUUCUCAACAACGGGAAGUACCAGUUUGGGAAGUGUGAUGCAAAAAGCAAUGAAGGAAUCCUUCUGGGAUAUUCCCCUCAAAGCAAAGACCAAAAAGUCCUCAACAAAAUGGCACACUGUGUGGAAGGAAGUGUUCAUGUGCUAUUCAAUGAGACAUCCUCCUCUAAAAAGGAGGAAAUAAUGAUAAUUAAGAUAAUGAACCACUUUUGGUCCUUGGGAAAUAUCUGUAGUUUCAAAUGGGAAGGCUGAUUUGAUGAGUAAGAUAAAGUAGAAAGGUGAGAGAUAAUGCAACAUCCUCUUCUACUUCUCAAGAGGAACCUGGUACUUCCAUUACUACCCCUAGCCUUCUUAGCAUUUCUAUCCCAAAUAAAAUCCAAAAAUAUCAAGAAAGCCUUAUAGGAUGCAGACAGAAUUACUGAAAUACAAGAGGAAUUACAUCAACUUGAAAGAAACAAGGUAUGGCACAUGGUACCUAGACCCUCAGACAGAACCGCCAUAGGGACCAGGUGGGUAUUAAGGAAUGAGCUGGAUGAACAUGGAAAUGCUACAAGGAAUAUAACAAGGCUUGCUGUCCAAGGAUUCAAUCAAGAGGAAGAGAUCGAUUAUGAUGAGACUUUUUGCCCAGUAGCUCGCAUGGAAGCUAUUAGGAUCCACAUUGCCUUUGUUUCACAAGAGGAAAGAUUGACAAUACAUUGUCUUUGAAGAAACGGGGAAAGAACCUGCUCAUUGAUCAGAUUUAUGUGGAUGACAUCAUAUUUGGAGCUACAGCUAACUCAUUAUGUGAAAAAUUUGCUAACCUCAUGGGAAGUAAGUUUGAAAUGAGUACGAUGGGGGAACUGAAUGUCUUCCUGGGUAUUCAAGAGAAGCAAUCCAUAAAUGGAAUGUGUAUCAGUCUGAAAUGCAUCAAAGAACUCUUGAAAAAGUUUGCCAUGGAAGCAUGGGAAUCAUUGGAUCUCUACUCUACCUUACUGCCAGCAGUCCAGACAUUGUAUUCAAGUGUGGGAUUACGUGCAAGGUUCCAAUCAAAUCCUGAGGAAUCUCAUCUGAAGGCUACUAAUAAAAUUUUGAGAUAUUUGGGCAUACAGAACCUGGUUCUGUACUAUCUUUCAUGGGACAAUUUCAACCUUAUUAGUUAUGCUAAUGCUAAUUAUGCAGGUUAUCUGGAGGACAGGAAAAACACAUCUGGAAUGGCUCAUUCCCUUGGAUCAUGCUUUAUCUCAUGGGGUACAAAGAAACAAAACUCAGUAGCUCCCUCAACAACUGAAGCAGAAUCUAUUGUAGUUUCCUCGUAAUGUGCUCAUUCACUGUGGAUCAAGCAAUAAUUGAAAGAUUUGGUGUAUAUAUUGAUUGUGUACCACUUUUAUGUGGAAAAAAUGUCUUAUUUUGUAUAAGAUUUUGUUGCACAGAAGAUCAAAUUGCAGAUAUCUUCACCAGGGAACACUUUGAUAAACAAGAUGGCAUUGGGAUCACUUGAACCUAAUUGAGAAGUUGGUUCUGCUGACAUGACUAUGAUAGUCACACUAAGGUAAAAUUGGCUAAAGUGUUUUCUGACUAGGCCUAACUCACAUCUAUACCGUUGCAGGUAAACACGCAUAAUGAUCAUAGAAGCUAAAGAUACAGUGUUGAACUUUGAAGGAGAGCUGCAAAACCCCUUUUACAAAAACAGGUUAGGAACCUGGUUCCUGCACCACAGGUUAGUAGUAAUGUAUUUUUCACAUGCUUGUUCAAAAAAGGGGAUAGCAAAAUUAAUUCAAGUGCCACAUCAUCUGACUUUUUAGACCAGCAGUUCUAAACCAUUGUCUUCCUUUGUAUCUUUUCAAUUUUUCCUUUAGAACUCUCUACCACUUCUCUCACCAUGGCCAACGAAUAAUCAUCUUUUUCUCUUGCCAUCGACAUCAUUCCCACAUCUCCUCCUCCCUUAACACCAUUACCUGAAACCCACUUCUUCACUAUCCUUGAUACUCCUCAUCUCCAGUCACCUCUACUCUUCUCUAGUCACCUCAUCUCCAGUCUCACUUCCAUGAGUUGCAAACCCUACUUCUCCUAUGUUCCUGAAUCUCAGGGGGAAGAAACUCCAUUCUUAGGGGAUGGAAUAACUCUGGAGCUUUUUGAGUCUCUGGUUCAUGACAUCGUCAUAAAAGAAUCUGUUGAAGAACCUAAUUCUCUUUUAGCUGAAACAAACUAGGUGGUUGUAGAAGAAAGAGGCUUUUGAGUGUGCCUUGCAUAAGAGUAAGCAGAAUAUUUAAAAAAAGAAGAAGAGGUUGAUGAAAUAGGGGGAAGCAGUGGCUGAUAAACACAUUUCAGUUGUUGAGGUUGAUAAAGAUGUUGUGAAGGAACCUAGUUCCUUAGUGAAAAGAUCUACAAAAGGGUGUGGCUGAGAAAGAUUUAUUUGAGGGUGACAUUGUGGCUGUUGCAAGCAGGAAUGGGAAGUUUAUUGAAAUAUCUAGAAAACAAAAGUGGGAAACUGUGGGAGGACCUGGUUCAAUGAAGACCAUUCUAAGUAACAGUGGCCUUGGGAAGAAAAGUUAAUUCAGAAAAAAGUCUUAUGGGGUAGCACGCUUGCCUGACAAUCUAGGAGAUGGCAGGUAUGAGACAAGUUCUGGACUUAGGAAACUAGUGGAGAAUCUGCGGGAGAAACUGCUUGAAUAACAGUUGUCUGCAACUACCUGCAUGGACCUAGCUCUCAAAAUCAUUGCAACCUCCUCUUCCCAAGGAUCCUCUCAAUGGCCAGUUAUCUUUUGCUCUGAUGAUUUUGUGCCUGUUGUUUCUCUUUUUGUUUGUCUUUUUGUGAUGGCAUGUUGGAUUUCAUCGUUGUUGCUCUUGUUGAAACAGUCAAAUUUCCUAUCAAUAAAACAUCUCUUAUUUUGCUUGUACAAUGCUUGUUUUCCCUUUUGCUUCUCUUUUCUAUCAUGAUUGUGUGCACAUAUGUGGUAUGAGUUAGCCUUGUUGGACUUCUUUAUUCAUUUUUGUAUGAUUGUGUCUUUUUGUUGAUGCCAAAAGGGGGAAGAAUAGAGUCAGGGGAACCUAUGGUCUCCUGAUAUUCAAUCUGGUUCUCUGAACUCUAACUCCUUAUUUUCAAUGCUAAGUUUGUCAUCAUCAAAAAGGGGGAAAUUAAUGGGAUUGAUAGGUUUUCAAUAUCUUUGCCUUGUGUUUUGAUGAUCUAACAAACUUAAUGUCAAGAACCAGAUAGGGAACAUUUGUAAGUAAGGGCAUAAAGUCAGGGGGACCUGUGGUCUCCUGAUAUUCAAUCUGGUUCUCUGAACUCUAACUCCUUAUUUUCAAUGCUAAGUUUGUCAUCAUCAAAAAAAGGGGAAAUUGAUAGGAUUGAUAGGUUUUCAAUAUCUUUGCCUUGUGUUUUAAUGAUCUAACAAACUUAAUGUCAAGAACCAGAUAGGGAACCUGACUCACUUGAAUUAUACUACAUCUAACAAAUUCCAGCCAAAUGUAAAUUUGCUAUAGUUUCAGGAGGUAGGAACCUAAACAAGGACCUGAUACUCUUGUGGGUUCCUCACGACAGUACAAAAUCAAUUGGACAUAGUUGGAAACGAAGAUUAUGCCACACCGUUCUGUUUCCAGUGCCCACUCAUUCUUUGACCAACUCAAAUGCUCACAUCACUUCAAGUGAUCAUUCUCAAGGUGUACCUACAAUGAGUAUAUACAAAGCAUCAUUCAAGUUACUCAACUCAAGACAAUCUGGGUGUUGUGCGCAAGAACCAGAUCAGGAACCUGAUCCCUUGGUACUUCUCUUAUAGAAGUCCAAGUCAACUAUACGAUUGGAACGCAACUGAGUGACUGAUUGCAACUGUACAAAAAGGAACACAACAGGGACCUGGUCCCUUAGGGUUCUCUGAUAGAAGUACAAGUCAACUACAGCUAGAAAGCAAUUGCAGAAAGUGACUGACUGCAACAGUGCAGCAGACAGUACAACAGUCACUUCCCAUUGAGAUUGGAUAUCACUAAGGAUGUCUUGUGUAGUAUAAAUCUUAUGUAAGACAUAAGUUUCAGGUUCCAACACUUGCAAAUACAGAAAACAAAAUUUUCUCAAGUGCUCAAGAACCUCUUCAAGAACAAAGCUGCUGCAACCUCAAGGACCUGAUCCAAGAUUGAAGAUAUCUCAAGUCCUUAGGUUGUUGAGUCUUUGUUAUGUGUUCUUCAUUGUAAUUCCUAGUUUGCUUUCUUAGAAACGUUGUCUUAGGAACAAACCAAAAUCCAUAAACUCCUUAAGUUUAUGUUGUGGCUAGGUUGGUCAUAAGUAAAAGCCUUUGUGAUCGUAGUAUUGUAAAGUGGCUUGUAAUAGGGAGNNNNNNNNNNNNUUUUUAUUCCCCCUUGUGUGGGAUUUUUCCACGUAAAAAUCCAUGGCCUUAUUUACAUUCAACUUUACUAGCAUUCACUGUAGAACCCAAUAAAGGACCAGGUACUAUACUAUUUGGUGGACUCACACAAACUUAGCACUAUACCAAACUGAUAUAGGACCAGAUCCCUAUACAAUUUGGUUCAUCAGUACUUUCAGAGGAAACACAUAGAGAACCCGAUUCUCUAUAAAGUCUUGUGGAUGCACAGUCUCUAACAAGCUGCCACUGAGGUGCCACCAGCAGUUUCAGCUGGAGUCCAGGCACCUGAUAUGCCUACUGCUACUGCUACUACUCCAGCUCUCCAGGAUACUCUUGCGUAGUUCAUUAUCAUGUACACCACUCUGGCUCAGGCAGGGUUGUUUCCCCUUGCUGCAGCUACAUCUCAGGUCGGGGGAGGAGCACAGACUCCCACCGCCCAUACUCCUGAGUAGCGAGUGCAUAUUGAUCAGGUCCUAGAGAUUAUUCCUGUACAGCCUGUAGCCCCAGAUCAGCCUGAGGAUAUGGCAAUGACUUCCGAGGAUGAGCAGCGGAGGCUUGAGAGGUUUAAGAAGUAUAAGCCUCUUAUAUUCAGUGGUCUAGCAUCAGAUGAUGCUCUGAGAUUUCUAUAUGAGUGCCAUCGUAUUCUCCGUACCAUGGGUAUAUCAGGAUCGAGCAGGGUUUCCUUCACUACUUUCCAGCUUCGAGGAGUCGCCUAUGAGUGGUGGCGUACUUAUGAGUUAGAUAGUCCGGAUGAGGCAGCUUCCCAGACUUGGACUCAGUUUUCAGAUAUAUUCCUUAGAGAGUAUGUUCCUCAUAGCCUUAGGGACGCAUGGCGCGCAGAGUUUGAGCAUUUGUGCCAGGGUGCUAUGACUACCUUAGAGUAUGCCGUCCAUUACACUAGCUUGGCUAGACAUGUGCCAGCCUUGGUUUCUACUGUUUGCAAUAGGGUUCGCCGGUUUAUUGAGGGGCUUAUUCCCAACAUAUAGUCUAGCAUGGCUCGUGAGUUGGAGAUGGUUAUUUCUUAUCAGGAGGUGGUGAGCAUUGCUAGGAGAGUGGACAGUAUGCAUGCCAGGGAUAGAGAGGAGAGGGAGGCCAAGAGGUCUCGAGAGUCGGGCCAUUACUCUGGUGCCCAUACCCCAACUACAGUUCGUCAUGGUAGGGGUUAUAUGAGUCACCCCAUUCAUUCAUCUCUUCCAGCAGCCAGCGGUAUUCCAGCUCCUCCUAGACCUCAAGAGCCUAAUUAUGCACCUCCAGUAUCUAGUGCGCCUCCUGCACGGAGUGCUUUCAGUGGUCAGUCCAGCAGACUUGUCCUGAGCCAGUCAUAGCCGCCAUGUCCUCUCAGACCAUAUUUUGAGUGUGGUGACACAUGACAUAUGGUGAGGGAUUGCCCCAGACUUAGGAGGGGUGCACCUCCACAGACUUCUUAGCCACAAUGUGCCCCGUAGAGUUCUCAGACUAUGGUUGCAGUUCCAGUUACUACCCUACCUACUCAGCCAGCUAGAGAUGGAGGUCGGGGAGGUAGAGGUCGCUCUAGAAGGGGAGGCCAGGCCAGAUAUUAUGCCUUUCCUGCCUAUACUGAGGUUGUUGCCUCUGAUUCUGUCAUCACAGGUAUUGUCCUGGUUUGUCAUAGAUAUGCAUCAGUUUUAUUCGAUCCAGGCUCCACCUAUUUGUAUGUGUCCUCUUAUUUUGCCCCAGAUUUGGGUGUAUAUCGAGAUUCUUUGAGUUUCCUUGUUUAUGCUUCUACUCCUGUGGGAGAUUCUCUUGUUAUGGACCGUGUUUAUUGGUCGUGUGUGGUUGCUCUUAGUGGUUUUGAGACCCGAGCCGAUUUAUUAUUGCUCAACAUGGUAGAUUUUGAUGUUAUCUUGGGCAUGGACUGUUGUCGCCCCAUUAUGUUAUUCUUGAUUGUCACACCAAAACCAUAACACUGGCUAUGCCAGGUGUACCACGAGUAGAGUGGAGGGGUACCUUAGAUCAUACUUCCAGUAGAGUUAUUUCAUUCCUUAAGGCUCAGCGUAUGGUUGAUAAAGGGUGUGACGUGUAUCUAGAUUAUGUGAGAGAUGCCAGUAUUAAUACCCCUACAGUUGAUUUAGUCCUAGUAGUACGGGAUUUUUCUGAUGUAUUUCAAAUUGACCUUUCGGGCAUGCCGUCCAAUAGAGAUAUUGAUUUUGCCAUUGAUCUGUUGUCGGGCACUCAGCCCAUUUCUAUUCCUCUGUAUCGUAUGGCCUCUCCUAAGUUGAAGAAGUUGAAGGAUCAGCUACAAGAAUUGCUUGAUAAGGGUUUUAUUCGGCCCAGUGUAUCACUUUGGGGUGCUCCUGUCUUGUUUGUGAAGAAAAAGGAUGGUUCUAUGUGUAUGUGCAUUGAUUAUCACCAGUUGAACAAAGUUACAGUGAAGAACCGUUAUCAUUUGCCUCAUAUUGAUGAUCUAUUUGACCAUCUACAGGGUGCCUGAGUGUUUUCUAAGAUUGAUUGCAUUCAGGUUACCAUCAAUUGAAGAUUCGGGAGCCAUACAUCUCGAAGACUGCUUUCAGGACUCAGUAUGGUCAUUACGAAUUCCUUGUUAUGUCGUUUGGGCUGACCAAUACCCCAGCAGCCUUCAUACAUUUGAUGCAUAGUGUGUUCCAACCAUAUCUUGACUCGUUUGUUAUUGUCUUUAUUGAUGAUAUUCUGCUGUAUUUCCGGAGUUGGAAAGAUCAUGAGCAACACCUGAGGACAGUGCUUCAGACUUUGAGGGAAAAGAAGUUAUAUGCAAAGUUCUCGAAAUGUGAGUUUUGGUUGGAUUUCGUGGCAUUCUUGGGCCACGUGGUAUCGAGUGAGGGUAUUCAGGUGAAUCCAAAGAAAGUGAAAGCAGUACAGAGUUGAUCCAGACCAUCCUCAGCUAUAGAGAUCCAUAGUUUUCUCGGCUUAGUGGGUUAUUACCGUUGAUUUGUUGAGGGGUUAUCAUUUAUUGUAGCCCCUAUGACCAGGCUGACCUAGAAGGGUGCUCCGUUCUAGUGGACGGAAGAGUGUGAGGUGAGCUUUUAGAAGCUCAAGACAGCUUUGACUACAACCCCAGCAUUGAUAUUGCCUAUAGGUUCGGGGUCUUAUACUAUCUAUUGUGAUGCCUUGAGGAUUGUCCUUGGAGCGGUAUUGAUGCAGAACUGUAGGGUAAUUGCCUACGCGUCCAGACAAUUGAAGGUACAUGAGAAAUAUUAUCAUGUCUAUGAUCUUGAGUUAUUUGCUAUUGUUCACACCUAGAAGAUCUGGCGUCACUAUUAGUACAAUGUGCCUUAUGAGAUCUAUACUAACCACCGGAUCUUGCAGCAUCUGUUCAAGCAGAAGGAUCUUAAUUUGCGCCAAAGGAGGUGGUUAGAGCUGCUGAAGGACUAUGAUAUCACUAUUUUGUAUCACCCGGGCAAGGCCAAUAUGGUGGGCGAUGCUUUGAGUCAUCGGGUAGAAAGUUUGGGGAGUUUGGCUUAUUUACCAGUAGUAGAGAGGCCCAUGGAGAUGGAU